GACGAACGCUGGCGGCGUGCCUAAUACAUGCAAGUCGAGCGAGCUUGCCUAGAUGAUUUUAGUGCUUGCACUAAAUGAAACUAGAUACAAGCGAGCGGCGGACGGGUGAGUAACACGUGGGUAACCUGCCCAAGAGACUGGGAUAACACCUGGAAACGGGUACUAAAACCGGAUAGGCAUAGAUGGGGCAUCCCAUUUAUGUUAAAGGUGAGAGACACAAACAGAUGGGCUUAUGGCGCAUUAGCCAGUUGGUGAGGUAACGGCCCACCAAAGCGAUGAUGCGUAGCCGGCCUGAGAGGGUGAACGGCCACAUUGGGACUGAGACACGGCCCAG
This 334-nucleotide ribosomal RNA is filed under the name uncultured bacterium. RNAcentral's name for it is "bacterial SSU rRNA". It matches the Rfam family "Bacterial small subunit ribosomal RNA", at positions 28 to 334 of the family's 1533-position model. The record is from RNAcentral.